Non-coding RNA from Heterocephalus glaber (naked mole-rat), 3891 nucleotides. NCBI's taxonomy places the organism in Eukaryota, Metazoa, Chordata, Mammalia, Rodentia, Bathyergidae. The record is from RefSeq and is a predicted model, not a curated record.
AGUGGAGAUGUGACUAAAAGGGAAAUGAAGAAGGAAGGCUGGCUUCUAUUUCUUGGGACGCGUUCCUGUCUUCACCUUCACCUUGGACAACUGGGACUCCUGGCUUCCAGCACAGACCCUUCAGCAUGCUGGUACUGACUCACACGGGAGUACAGUGAGCUCCAGGCCUUCAAUUGGAUCCUUUGGAUCUCCACUGUUUGGACUGUUUGGACUUUUACACUCUUCUGCACCUGACUGUGGGCAGCCACUGCGAUUUCUAAUUUCGAUGGGGACCAGGCAUCAUGUACAAGAAGGCAAUUAAUAGCUCCCUGAAGGGACAAUUCACUAGCCAGGUCGUAAAAAUCAUCCAUUGUUUGAUCUUUUGGCCAUAAGGUCCAUUCUGCUGUCCAUUACAAUGAGGAGGAGGACCAAUGAGUGUUUUGGCCCAAUCACUACCUUAAACCAUUAAAAUGAGUUUCUUCUUAGGUAACUUCAAAAGAGAUCUUGUUUUCAGCAGAAUGAUCAGAAUGCGUAUAUGAUUCCCAAGUUUUAUUAUACAAAUGACUGUUUUUUGUUAUGUCUAACCACAGAGCUCCACAGACCAGAUCACGUGAGUGUCCCGCAGACUUCUUCGACCCUGUUUCUGAUCCUUGAGAAGGAGGACAAUCAUUCAGGGUGUAAGUGCUUCCUCUCUGCAGAGUACCUGUGACUUCAGUGAAUCCUCUCCAAGCACCUCUGAUGUUACUCUUCCUCUAGUCGGCAAUGUUGGAUCUGUAGAAUUCAUUUGUCACCAUUGUGUGGCUUGAGAGUCUCUCAGCAUCCUUCCCAUGUGGCCUACAGUUGGUAGAAGUCACAGAACAAGGCUGUAUAGCUAGUCCAAGGCUCUCAGCAACGCAUUGUCCCAGCUUUUGUACCAAAAGGAGAAAAUUACAGGGGCUGAGAUGUAUUGCUUUGUGCUCUGACAUAUCUGUUGGCUGGUGGUAGGGGAAAACUGUUGUAAAGUAGCUUCACGGAGGAUGACUUUUGGUGGCAUUGUACAACUUAGAACAGGGUUGUGAGACAAAUCUGGAUGCUAUGAGGUGGAGAGGGUCUGAAUGAAGCAGAAGGCAGUGAGAAUGUAGAAAUAUGAAAAAACCCAAGCUUGAAAGUAUGAAAAAACUUUUUCUCAUAAAAAGUGUCACAGAAUAUAUCGAAUGAGGCAUAUAGGGGUGCUCAAACCUAGUUUAAGAAUUUUUUGUGUCUACUAAUACUUUGUACAUUUCUUCAAAACUCCUGAACCCAAUUGGCCUACAGACCCCUGGGAUGUGAUGGAGAUCCAAGAUUAAGGGCCCCCUCUGGACCAGCUCCAAGGAUUUCUAACAAGUGUGAUACAAGAUGGGCACUGGGUCAGCUCUGCAAGGCCCCUCCCAGAUGGGCAAAGCACUCUGGUAUGCGAGCUGGGGAAGACUGAUGCUAGAGGCAGGAAAGAUGGACACAAGUGGGGAAGGAACCCAGAUACUGCCAGAGGAGGAUUUACAUGAAGCUAAUGAAGCUCAAAUUUUAGGGCCUCUCAUUUGAAUAGGUGUUUUCCAAGGUCUUGCUUUUAAUUAUCUCUAUAUGAUUUUGUUUUCAUAAAAAGGUUUCCCUAAUUAUGUGAGCCCCAUGGCUGCCCAGAUCCUGGAUCUUACCUCAGUCACCUAUACAGUAACUCCCUGCUGCUCUCAUGCCUCAUAAUAGGUUUUCAUCAUCUCACUAUUUUAUGGCAUCCUUUAUUGCUACUGAGAAAUCAGCUACUGGUUUAACUAAGACUUCCAGUUUACAGAACUCCAGGGGCUGCCAUUUGCACUCUUGUCUAAGUAAUCGGGAGUCCUCUGAGUUUGUGCAGUGUAUAUGUGCCUUUCCUUUACUGCAUUUUAGAUUUUUAUCUUUGACGGUAUUAAGUUUUAUGAUGGGUAUGUAGGUAUGAGUUUCUUUUUCUUUUCUUUUUUUUUUUUAAUGUGGGACCUAUUGGGCUUCAUCAGCAGCAAAUCAACCCAUUCCACCAAUUCUGGGGAAUUCUUAGGCAAAUCUUCAAAUAUUACUUCUGCCUUAUACUUAAGAACUGAUUAGGUAGAUGUCAGGCCUUCUUUUUCUAUCUUCUUUGUUUCUUAAUCUCUUCCCACCACCCUCCAUUUUAGAGCAGCAGUUGGGAAACUAAUGUCCAUGAUGCAAAUCUGUCCCACUGCCUGCUUUUGUCAAUAGAGUUCUACUGGAAUACAGCCAUUCCUCUUUAGACAUUGUCGGUGACUGCUUUCAAGCUAUAGUGAAACAGAAUUGAGUAGUAGAGACAGACACUUUUAAUCUCAUAAACCUAAAAUAUGAACUAUAUGACCUUUACAGAAUAACUCUGCUGCCUUUUUGGAGACAAUUUAUCUUCCAGUUCACAAAUUCUCUCUUCAUCUGUUUUUACUGUGCUAUUAAAAUUGUUCACUUGUUCAUUUUGGUUAUUGUAUUUUUAUUUCAAAUGGACUCCUACAAAUCUAGAAGGUCAUUUUUUAUAGUUUCCUGUUUCUGAUAAUAUUUUCAAACAUUUCCUUUGUGUAUUUAAAGAUAAAUUCAAUACUUUAGAAACAUACACACAUUCUGGUAUGUCUAGUACCUGAAGUCUUUACAGGUCUAAUUUUGAAAUCUGUUUUUCUGUGUGUGUUUUUUCUACUUAUUUUCAUUUUAUUAUUUUAACUUUGUACAGUUCAUUAUUUUUUUAAAACUAUCUGUUGAAGUGUUUGAAAUCUGAAAUACAAAUAUGUUUCUGCAAAGUGGAUUUAUUUUUGUUCUGCCUGGUGUCUAAAUCAAAUUCUUUCAGAGCUAUGGAUCACCAAGGCUGCAAAUCCAUGUCAGGGCUGGUAAGAGGCCACAAGGUCUUUCGAAAUUUUUUACUUUAUUUUUCCUGCUGCUAAAAAUAUUAGUACUGGGUUGGAGAAAUUCUCCACUACACUGUGUAUAGUUCUUUUCAUCACUGAGUUUCUAUCACUCAGCACAGUGCUUGGCCUAAUACUUUAAGAAUGAGUUAAUGAUCAGAAUCUGUUGAUUGGGCUUUCUAAAUAUUCAUAGUUCUCAAAUUUGUCUCUUCAUUUCCUUCCCAUGCUCAUGGUCCUGGUCAGGUCCUUAUCACAUGUUUAUCUGGAUUGUUAUAAGUUUACUUCCCAAUUUAGUAGUCCUCAGUUAAGAGCAUAUUUCAGAAUUUCUUUGCUAUGUCAGAAAAAAUGUAUAUUUUCAAAAAUCAAGAAUGAAUUGAGGAAAUCUCUAGUUUAAAAUAUUCCACAGAUGAUUCUAAUAUGUGCCUUCAGUGAAAGACAUUCUAUGUCAGCUUGUCUUCAGUCUUGUCCCUCUUAAAUUCACUUUCCAUGUUCCAUUAGAGUUCAUCUAAUAUGCAAAUCUGAUGACUUUACUCUCCUACAAAAACCUUACAGUGGCACUCUGUUGCCUAUAGGAUAAAAUCCAACCCCUUUAGCACUGUUUGCACAGCCCUCCAUUCUGACUUGUGCUCUGUGCUUUGGUGGCACUGAAUUUUUUGCAUUCCUUCCUCACACACUGUCUUGUCACCAUGUCUUGCUUUUGCUGAAGUUAUUCUCUAUCCCUCAAGUCCCUGUUCUUUCUUUACUGGCUUUCUCCUUCCUGCCUUCUAUGACCCAGUUCAGCUCUAGGAAGCCUCUCUGGAAGGCUGGAUUUAGUGUUAUUACUCCUUGGUAUUCUGCUUCAUCAAUUCUGAGACCAAUUCUGUUAUAUAGAAAAAUAUAACUUUCCACCAGAGUGUGGGUUCCUCAAGGGACUUAAGUCACUCAUCUUUGUUAGUCUCACAAAGGGCUCAGAGUAUAGGAAACUCAAACUAUAAAUAAAGAGCAAAAUAAAAGAUAGACAAUAGGAAGUAAGGAGAUAAAUUUUUCUUGAAUGGGA